AUGGAUGGCAACGGUUCCAUCUUUCCAAUCAGAAUUUACAGAACGUGGACAUAUCUGAAUGAUUCCAUGGCCUCUGACCGAUUCAGAUUUAAAAACAUCCCUGAAUGAGAGCUGAAUGAGAAGUUGACCUAAAUACCCACGCACGUCACACGUUCCUCUCAUCUGCUCCUCUUCUCCUCUUCUGGGCGAUCACGCAAACCACCACCAUCCAAGCACAUCAAGACUUCGACGAUUCCAAGCAAAUCUUCGCUCACAACCAGUAAUAGGUGAAUAGUAUGGAACUCAUAGAUGAAGUUCAUUGUUAAGUUAAAAACCAUCAAUACCAAACUUUGAGGUUUGAACACCCCUAAUUAUGGUGCAUAACUUGCCUUUUGAAUGAUGUCUGCACCUAACCGUUCAUCUGCGUCCUCGAUCGUUUCU
This 420-nucleotide long non-coding RNA is filed under the name Helianthus annuus (common sunflower). The record is from RNAcentral. Lineage: Eukaryota; Viridiplantae; Streptophyta; Magnoliopsida; Asterales; Asteraceae.